Molecule: ribosomal RNA, 35 nt
Filed under: Acer circinatum (vine maple)
Lineage: Eukaryota; Viridiplantae; Streptophyta; Magnoliopsida; Sapindales; Sapindaceae
Description: partial 25S ribosomal RNA
Source: RNAcentral
ACGACCCCAGGUCAGGCGGGAUUACCCGCUGAGUU